This 250-nucleotide ribosomal RNA is filed under the name uncultured bacterium. Its description in RNAcentral is "partial 16S ribosomal RNA". It matches the Rfam family "Bacterial small subunit ribosomal RNA", at positions 524 to 773 of the family's 1533-position model. The record is from RNAcentral.
UACGGAGGGUGCGAACGUUAAUCGGAAUUACUGGGCGUAAAGCGCGCGUAGGCGGUUCGGUAAGUGGGAUGUGAAAGCCCCGGGCUUAACCUGGGAACUGCAUUCCAAACUGCCGAGCUAGAGUAUGGUAGAGGGAGGUAGAAUUUCCUGUGUAGCGGUGAAAUGCGUAGAUAUAGGAAGGAAUACCAGUGGCGAAGGCGGCCUCCUGGAUCAAUACUGACGCUGAGGUGCGAAAGCGUGGGGAGCAAAC